This 630-nucleotide ribosomal RNA is filed under the name uncultured bacterium. RNAcentral describes it as "partial 16S ribosomal RNA". It matches the Rfam family "Bacterial small subunit ribosomal RNA", at positions 60 to 709 of the family's 1533-position model. The record is from RNAcentral.
AGUCGAACGAUGAUGGAGGAGCUUGCUCUUCCUGAUUAGUGGCACCGGGUGAGUAUACCAUACAUAAUGUACCCCUUAGUUUGGGAUAACCACUGUUAACGGUGAUUAGUACCAAAUACUCCUUCUUGUCUUUUGCAAGUCGGGAAAGUUUUUUCGCUAAGGGAUCAUUCUAUGUCCUAUCAGCUAGUUGGUGAGGUAAUGGCUCACCAAGGCUAUGACGGGUAUCUGGUUUGAGAGGAUGAUCAUACACACUGAAACUGAAACACGGUCCAGACUCCUACAGGAGGCAACAAUGAUGAAUAUUGCACGAUGGAUGAAACUCUGAUGCCCCACCGCCGCGUGUAGGAUGACUCAUUUCCGUGUGUAAACUCCUUUUAAGAGGGAAGAUAAUGACGGUACCUCUUGAAUAACCACCGGCUAACUCCGUGCCUCCAUCCGCGGUAAUACUGAGGGUGCAAGCGUUACUCGGAAUCACUGGGCGUAGAGGAUGCGUACGCUGACUUUUAAAUCAAGCGUGAAAUCCAAUGACUUAACCAUUGAACUGCGCUUGAAACUGGGAGUCUAGAGUUCAGAAGGGGCACAUGGAAUUAUUGGUGUAGGGGUAAAAUCCGGACAUAUCACUAGGAAUAU